CUAUCUUCCUGAUACCCCCGCUAUUAAUAGUCCUCCCCGACUUUGUGUUUCCCGCAACGACUAAAAUCAACUUACGCCACUCCUCUUUCCUCCUCUCUCCUACCCCUCUCAUUCCUCACUUUCACCGUUCUGCCCCUCCUUCCCCCAAUUCUCAGCCUUACACUCUCCUCCUCCUUCCUCUUUUUUACCCUAUUUUCUUUUCUCUUUUCAUUUCCUCUCUUCUUUCCUACCUCUUUUUCCUCCACUGUUUACCCGGAUUCUCUCUCAUAUAAUCUCUUCCCUCUUUCUUCCUGUCUGCUCUUCUCUCCUUUCUCUUUCUUCUCUUCCUCUAUUCCUUCCUUCUUCCCCUUUCUUUCCCCUUCCCUCUCCCUCCCCCGUUCUUUCUCGGCCUGCUUCCUUUUUCGUUUCUCCCUUCCCCUUUUUUGUACUCUUUUUCUUUUUCUCCCCUUCUUUUUCUCUCCUUGUUUUUUCUUCUUCGCUCCCCUCUCCCUCCCCUCAUUUCUUUCUACUCUUCUUCUUCCUUUUUGUUUUUUUUUUUCCUUUUACCCCUUCUCUCUCCUCUCCUCUUUCUCUCCUCUCUCCCUCCUUCCUUUACCUCUUCUUUUCUUUUUCGGGGUGUUUGUGUUUUUCUUUCUAUUUCUUGCCCCGCCCGCCACUCUCUUUCCCCUACAUCCUCUGUUCCUAUAUCCUGGCUUAUCUGAGCUCCGUCACUCUUUGCUUCGUUUUGUACAUCCUGCCCGUCACACCACUAAAGUCUGUAUCACUCCAAAGUCGGUGGGGUAACCGUAAGGAGCCAGCCGCCUAAGGUGGGACAGAUGAUUGGGGUGAAGUCGUAACAAGGUAAGUCA
Molecule: ribosomal RNA, 848 nt
Filed under: uncultured low G+C Gram-positive bacterium
Lineage: Bacteria; Bacillati; Bacillota
Description: partial 16S ribosomal RNA
Source: RNAcentral